Molecule: long non-coding RNA, 869 nt
Organism: Pimephales promelas (fathead minnow)
Lineage: Eukaryota; Metazoa; Chordata; Actinopteri; Cypriniformes; Leuciscidae
Source: RefSeq, a predicted model, not a curated record
CCACGGCUCAGGAAGUCAGUAUUUAUCGGCUGUCACUUCAUUAACCUCAUACGAGAGAUAAUGAUAUGUUGUAAGAACGUCAAGGUAGCGUUCAAGUUUGAUUUGAGUGAAUAUGACACCAGCGUCUGGCCUUGGUUUGGCAUGUACCUUGCCAGAAUCAAACACCUUAGAAGGUCAGGACACAUGUACCACAAAGAGCCAACAGUUUCAGAGGAACAGCAACAGAAUAAAGAUCAAGGAUGUGAGAAUCACUAGGGAAUUGCCGAGGUGUCCAAACCAACAGCAAUGUUUCCUGUGGUGUCAGAGGAUUUCAUGCAUCAUAAAUUAAGGACAAGACGAGGACGCCAUCGUGAGGAGGUGCUGUCAGACACAGAGAAGACGGAGCUGAUGUCAAUAUAAACAGAGGGACAAUGUAUCUGCUGGGAUCUGUGUUUAAAUCUGUUGAUGCCCAUCCUCAUCUGCAAACUCUACACAAUGAAAGACAAGGUCCAGUUGGUGACGUGCAAUGUGAAAUACAGUCAGUCUGGUGUGUGAAAAGCAAUGGCACCGGUGCUCCAUAAUUAAGCCUCAGCAGAGCCUCCCAGCAGGGGUCUGGAAUGUGCGGUACAGCGUGUCCUCGGUGCUGGGAGAACGUGUGGCGGCCGGAUAGAUGUGCGUCUUUGCUCCUUCUUGAGCCUCAAUUGUCUCAGGCAGCGUGAAGGUUAAACGGGGGUUUGAUGGAGCCGUCCACAUGGGCUGUUUUGGUGUGGAUGACAGGAGGACAAGCGGAGUGCAUCUGCCCUCCGGGGCAAGAGAAUGCCGGCUGAAUGGAGAGCAGAACAUAACCAGUGCGUUGCCAAGGUAACGUGGAACAGAACACCGCGGUGAGA